CUACCUUUAUUUCUAUCAGGCACUAAUCUCACCCUAAAAGAUAGAACCCCCUCUGUCACUCUCACCCUAACAAACCCUUCAACAAUUGAGCCUGGUCGGUUGGUAAAAUACCUCCACCCACAACCGUUAGGUCCUGGGUUCGAGUCACCCUGGAGGAAAGUGUGAAAAUACUAUAAAUCCUUCUAAAUUGGAAAAAACAAAAACUCUCCCUAUCCCUCCCACCGAUCUGGCGCAUCCGGCGAAUCCGUCGUCUCUCUUCUCUUAAUCACUUCCCCUAAGGUCCUCGAUUGGAAAUUGAGUGAUGUGGCUUUCGAACAGGAAGCUUUGAGUCUCCAAUCGCCAACCUUCAUUGUGCGAAUCUAGAGUUCCAUCGUUGGUUUGAUUUGCUCUAUCAACUCCUAACUCCAAAUAAGCAAUGUAUUGAUUGUGCCGACACCAUUAUUCCAGUGAGGUGAGGUGGCUGUUUGUUUUGGUUCAGUGGUUGUGCAAUCCAUGCUACUUUCAGCGUUGUGACUUCGCGAGCUUCACUGUACAUGGAUGAGUCUUAAUUGAUUAUAUUGAUUGAAUCAAGAGCUUUGUGUGGUAUUUUUUGGUCAUUUAUAUAUUCUCUUAUGUGAGCUAUGGAGUGCUAUUGUAGGACUUUCUCUUCUUUUAAAUAGGCAUACUUGGCAACAUCAAUUGACUUGAAUUUACUGAUUCAGAUAUAUUCUUUUCAUAUAUGUUUAAUGUACUUGAAUUAAAUUUAGUAUUCAUUUUCUUUUAGAUUUUAUCAUUGGUAUCUGGUUUUUAUUACACUUUUGAGUAAUCUUUUUUACAUAUGUUUAAUUUACUGGAUUGAAAAAAUUUAAAGGCUCUAACAUCGAAUGGAUCUCCCCUUCUUAAUCAUGCAGGAGCGUCAGCCCUUGAGCUGGAAAUAUUACACAAAAGAAAUUGGUCCUCGCUUGGUAGACAUGUACUAAGAGGCAUGUGAAAGUAUGUGAGGCAUCCGAUUUCUUUUCAGUUUAUAAUCUUUUCAUUACUUGUUGGUUGGCUGUCUUCAUUGCGUAGUCUAUUUGGCAAUAACAUCCAGUAUUUAUGAGAGUUUGAUUUAGAAGUAUUGGCCAUAAAGUUCUUAUUUGCAGUCUAUUGAAGACAAACACAUGAUUUCUUCUUUCUAAUCUUUGUUUAGAUCAAUCAUAUAAAUCAAACUCCAGUUGAUCUACUUUCUUUAGUGAUUCGUAGCGACUUUAAUCAUGUGUUUCAAAUGGUUGGUAAGAACUUUAUGGUCUACUCUAAUAGGAAUAUUAGAUAUGCAUCAUGUAUUGUAUGAAAAAUAAUCAAAUGAUAGCAUCUUUCAUUGUUUUUAUUUUACAUGUGAGGUGAUAAUAGUUUUUUAAAAGUCGUUCGAAAUAAUCAAUUUUAUAUGAAUUGGCAGAUUGCUCUAUAUCCUUGUUUUCUUUAGAGAUAAGAGGCUUGAGAAAUAUGAUUGAUACCUUGUUCUAUAAAUUGCUAGAUAGAAAUUUGAUACUUAAUUGAAGUUUAAGUAUUUUUCUUGAGGUGUGUCAAGAGAAUAUACUAUGAGAAGAAGUUAACAUAAUCAAGACUGAGAUAUGCAAAAUAUUUUUUUCAAUUCUUUAGUCCGCCAAGUCACGCAAUUGAGUCAGUUGUUAGUUAGCUUUAUUUGAAUUUCCUAUUGAAUUGACAUCCUGUAAAAUUCUGUAAUCAGGAGUGUGAGAAGAAGAGAACACAUGCGAGAGAAGAGGGAAUUGGAAAUUUCCAGAAACAUUUUCAUUUCUUGCUAACUGAUACAAAGUGAGUUCUAUCUCUGUUUUAUACUACUUACUUACUAACUUGUAACUCUAACUCUAACUAACAACUGAAUCUAGUUACAAAUAUGCUAACUACAGUUAAGUUAAGUUAUUACAUCCUUUACACAUAUUUACUGUCACGACACAAUUUUCCCCCCAUAUGACGUUGGGACGGCACCUAAUCUCUAUGACUAGGUAAGCCUAACAUUUGCAGAAUAAUGAAAUGAAAACAUGAAUUAAACAACUAACUGUUCAAAAUACACAGUAAUCCCAAAACCCGGAAAAUCGUAAGUAACAAGUUACAGAAGAAAACUAGUAUCUCUAUACACCAGAGUCUAAUAACAGAAGUAAGGAAGGUAAAUGACAUAAGAGGGAAUAAAGGGGGACUUCGAGGUCUGCGGACGCGGUAGAUAUACCUUGAAGUCUUCGUACAACAACAAGCACUCUCAGCUAGUAGCGGGGCUGAUAAGAAAUACCUGGAUCUGCAUACAAAAUAUGCGUAGAAGAGUAGCAUGAGUACAUCAUAAUCGGUAUCCAGUAAGUGCCAAGCCUAACCUCGGUAGAGUAGUGACGAGGUCAGGUCCGGGCCCUACUGGAAUAUGAUAAUAAAGCAAGGCAAAAAUAAAAUAUCGCAGUAAAAUAAAGACUGAAAUUUAACAAGAAAGAAUUUAUAGAAGGUAACAGCUCAAUACACAGAAAUACAACAGGGGAUCUCCCGAGAUACCAUCUUGUAGUCCCAAAUGUAAAUAUGUAGGGGGAUCUCUUGGAAUACCAUUCCGUAGUCCCAAAGUAAAUAUGCAAGACAUGGGAAUCUCCCGGAAUAACGUUCCGUAGUCCCAAAGUAAAUAUGCAGUACAGGAGAAUCUCCUGAAAUACCGUUCCGUAGUCCCAAAGUAAAUAUGCAGUACAAGGGGAUCUCCCGGAAUACCGUUCCGUAGUUCCAAAGUAAAUAUGCAACGCAAACAAUAGAAAUACAAUUACAUCACGAAAUCUUACGAUUUAGACUAAGUACCAAUCAAGAAAGAAGUAGGAAAUUCACUAAGCAUGCUGCACAGAGUUCACAUAAGCAGUUAAGACAUGUAGACAUGUUGUAUUAGACUAAAUAGGAUAGCUACACAUAUUGGAAUAACUGAAUUAAGAAUGAAAAUAGAUUAAUACUCAUUAAAAUGGUAUAACUCAAAAUAAAAGGAAAACAGGUUGCUGCUCAAUAAGCAAAUCGGGUUUUUUUCUACAACUAGCCCGUGUACUUACUCGUCACCUCACAUACACGGUGCUCACAUAUCACAAUAGUUCCAAAUCUUAAGGGGAUUUCCCCCACACAAAGUUAGGCAAGCCACUUAUCUCGAAUCAAGCUCAAUCAAUUGAUCACAAUGCGUUUCCCACGAAUCCGGCUCCGAAUGGCCCAAAUCUAGCCAAAAGCAAUUACAUAUCAUAAAUACAACCAUAAUAGACUCAUCUAAUUAAUGAAAUCAAUACUUUAACAAAAAUUCCAAAAGUCGUCCUAAAAGGUCUACUCGAGCCCAUGUCUCGGAAUCAGAUAAAAGUCACAAAAUUCGAAAGCACAUUCACUCACAAGUCUAACCAUAUCAAAUUUACUAAAAUCCGACAUUAAAUGGUCCUUCAAAUCCACAAAUCAAACUUUCCAAAUCCCUAGCCUCAAACUCCCAAAUUCCACCUUAAAUACACACUAACUAGAAGGAAAAACAAAUUGGGAAGCAAGAUUAUUGAUCAAAAAAAAGCACAAGGGACUUACCUCAAGAAAUGCCUCGAAAAUGCUCUCAAAUAUCGCCCUAAACCGAGUUUGCAAAGUCAAAAAUGACAAAAUCACGAAGCCCUUCGGUUUUAAACACUUCCCAGGCAUUUCCACACCUGCAUAGCCUGGGCUCGCACCUGCGCGCCCGCUUCUGCGAAAAUAUGGGCUGGGCUGGGCUACAUCGCGAACCUUUCGGUCCACGUAACUCUUCUGUCUGGACUGGGCUGUGCGAAGUCUAUCCUGAAUCACCUUAACCUUUUCCAAGGCAUCCUGAACCAAGUCAGUACCCAAUAAUCUGGCCUCGCCCGGCUCGAACCAACCCACUGGGGACCGACACCGCCGACCAUACAGAGCCUCAUAUGGUGCCAUCUAAAUGCUGGACUAAUAACUGUUGUUGUAAGCAACCCCGCAAAGUGGCAAGAACUGGUCCCAAGUACCCCCAAAAUCUAUCACACAAACGCGGAGUAUAUCCUCCAGUAUCUGAAUAGUGCGCUUGGACUGUCCGUCCGUCUGGGGGUGAAAUAUUGUGCUCAACUCAACCCGAGUACCCAAAUCAUGUUGUACAGCUCUCCAAAACCGUGAUGUAAACUGCAUACCCCGGUCAGAGAUGAUAGAUACUGGUACGCCAUGAAGCCUGACGACCUCACAGAUGUAGAUUCGAGCUAGUUGCUCGGAAGAAUAGGUAGUCAUCACAGGAAUCAAAUGAGCCGACUUGGUCAGCCUAUCCACAAUCACCCAUACUGCAUCAAACCUCCGCUGAGUCCGUGGGAGUCCAAAAACAAAAUUCAUAGUGAUUCGCUCCCAUUUUCAUUCCGGAAUCUCCAACUUCUGAAGCAACCCACCUGGCUGUUGAUACUCAAACUUCACCUGUUGGCAAUUUAGACAUCGGGCCACAUACUUUAGUAUGUCCUUCUUCAUCCUCCUCUACCAGAAAUGUUGUUUCAAGUACUGAUACAUUUUUGCGGCACCCGGAUGAAUAGAUUACCGCGAACUGUGAGUCUCCUAGAGAAUCAACUCACGCAAACCAUCUACAUUGGGCACACAUAGCCUGCCCUGCAUCCCCAAUGCACCAUCAUCUCCAAUAGUGACCUCCUUAGCAUCACCGUGUUGGACCGUGUCCUUAAGGGCAAGCAGAUGGGGGUCAUCAUACUAACGCUCCCUGAUACGAUCAUAAAGAGAAGAUCGAGAGACCACAUAAGCCAAUACUCAACUCGGCUCAGAAAUAUCUAAUUUCACAAACUGGCCGGCUAAGGCUUGAACAUCCAACGCCAUGGGCCUCUCUGCUACUGGUAGAUAUGCUAAGCUCCCCAAACUCUCUGCCCGGCGACUCAAAGCAUCGGCCACCACAUUGGCCUUACCAGGGUGGUAUAAAAUGGUGCUAUCAUAAUCCUUAAGCAGCUCCAACCACCUCCUCUGAUGCAAAUUAAGAUCCUUCUGCUUGAACAGAUGCUGCAAACUCCGGUGAUCGAUGUAAAUUUCACAAGGAACACCGUACAAAUAAUGCUGCCAAAUCUUUAAGGCAUGAACAAUAGCUGCUAACUCAACGUCGUGGACAUGAUAGUUCUUUUCAUGCACCUUCAGCUAUCUGGAGGCGUAGGCAAUCACCCUACCGUCCUGCAUCAACACCGCGCCGAGACCAAUCCGUGAUGCAUCACAAUAUAUAGUAUAAGACCCCGAACCUGUAGGCAAUACAAAUACUGGGGUUGUAGUCAAAGCUGUCUUGAGCUUCUAAAAGCUCUCCUCACACUCCUAUGUCUACCUUAACGGAGCACCAUUCUGGGUCAACCUGGUCAUAGGUGCUGCAGUAGAAGAAAAUCCCUCAACAAACCGACAGUAAUACCCCGCCAAACCAAGGAAACUCUGAAUCUCCGUAGCUGAGGACGGUCUGGGCUAACUCUGCAUUGCUUCAAUCUUCUUCGGAUCCACCUGGAUCCCAUCACUCGAUACUAUAUGACCCAAGAAUGCCACUGAGUCUAGCCAAAUCUCACACUUUGAAAAUUUUGCAUAUAACUUCUUUUCUCUCAAGGUCUAAAGUGCAGUCCUCGGGUGUUGCUCAUGAUCUUCCCGAGUCCAGGAGUACACCAGAAUGUCGUCAAUAAACACAAUGACGAAUGAGUCAAGAUAGGGCCGGAACACAUUGUGCAUCAAGUGCAUUAAAGUUGUUGGGGCAUUGGUCAGCCUAAAAGACAUAACAAGAAAAUCAUAGUGACCAUAUCUGGUCGUGAAAGAAGUCUUCGGGAUAUCUGUCUCCUGAAUCUUCAACUGAUGAUAGCCGAAACGUAAAUCAAUCUUGGAAAAUGCUCUGGCACCCUGUAACUGAUCAAAUAAGUCAUCAAUACGAGGCAAUAUUUGUUCUUCACUAUGACUUUGUUCAACUGGCGGUAAUCAAUACACAUCUGCAUAGAACCAUCCUUCUUCUUCACAAAUAAGACAGGAGCACCCCAAGGUGACACACUAGGCCGAAUGAAGCCCUUAUCAAGCAAUUCAUGUAACUGCUCCUUCAACUCCUUCAAUUCAGGAGGAUCCAUACAAUAUGGAGGAAUAGAGAUUGGUUGAGUGUCCGACAACAAAUCAAUUGCCAAAAUCAAUAUCUCUGUCGGGCGGCAUGCCCAGAAGAUUAGCCGGAAACACAUCUGGAAAGUCCCUCACUACUGUAACUGACUCAACUGUAGGGGUAUCAAUACUGACAUUUCUCACAUAAGCUAGAUACGCGUCACACCCCUUCUCAACCAUUCAUUAGCUUCAAGAAAUGAAAUAACUCUGCUGGGAGUAUACUCUAAGGUACCUCUCCACUCUAACCACGGUAAACCCGGCAUAGCCAGCAUCACUGUCUUAGCAUGACAAUCAAGAAUAGCAUAAUGGGGUGACAACAAGUCCAUGCCCAAGAUAACAUCAUAAUCUACCAUGCUGAGCAAUAAUAAGUCGGCUCUGGUCUUAAAACCACUAAGAGCAAUCAAACACGACCGAUACACGCGGUCUACAAUAAGAGAAUCUCCCACAAGAGUAGACACAUAAAUAGGGGAACUCAAAGAAUCCCGUGAUAAGCCCAAAUACGGGGCAAAAUAAGAGGACACAUAGGAAUAUGUAGAGCCUGGAUCAAAAUAAUAACGACGCAUCUCUAUGACAGACUGUAACAAUACAUGUAAUGACAGAAUCAGAAGCAAUUGCCUCUGUACGAGAAGGAAGGGCAUAAUAUAUGGCCUGGCCUCCCCCUCUAGGGAGACCUCUACCUCCCCGACCUCUACCUCGAGCUAGCUGAGAAGGUGGGGUGGCAGCUGGUGCUAUAAUCAUAGCCUGAGGACCUAGUGGAGCACGUUGUGGCUGAGAAGUCUGUGGAGGUGCCUCCUCCUAAAUCUGGGGCAAUCCCUCACCAUAUGGCGAGUGUCUCCACACUCAAAACAAGCUCUAGUAGGGUAUGGCUGUUGUGACUGGCUUGGGCCAGGCCUGCUGGACUGGCCGUUAGGAACACCCCGUGCAGGAGGCACACUAGAUACUUGCGGUGUAUAAUAAGGCUUCUAGGGCCUAGGAGGAACUGGAACACCACUAGCGGCUGGAAGAGCUGAAUGAAUGGGGCGGUUUACAUAACCACUACCAUGGCGAGUUGCUGGGAUGCGAGCACAAGAAAAAUAACCAGUCUCUCGAGACCUCUUGGCCUCUCUCUCCUCUCUGUCCUGGGCAAGNNNNNNNNNNNNNNNNNNNNNNNNNNNNNNNNNNNNNNNNNNNNNNNNNNNNNNNNNNNNNNNNNNNNNNNNNNNNNNNNNNNNNNNNNNNNNNNNNNNNNNNNNNNNNNNNNNNNNNNNNNNNNNNNNNNNNNNNNNNNNNNNNNNNNNNNNNNNNNNNNNNNNNNNNNNNNNNNNNNNNNNNNNNNNNNNNNNNNNNNNNNNNNNNNNNNNNNNNNNNNNNNNNNNNNNNNNNNNNNNNNNNNNNNNNNNNNNNNNNNNNNNNNNNNNNNNNNNNNUCUAAGUUGGAAUGUAGUAAAAGAAACCCCGCUCGUCUCCGCUACGCCCAUAGCACGGAGAAUACGAUGACACUCCUCCAGAAAACCCUGAUCAUCAUCUGUAGCCAAUCCGCUGAAAGUAGGUGGGUGGUACUUCUUGUACCUCUCAAGUCUGAGUUGUUCCACCUCAGAAGUUGCUGCCCUAACCUCGGGUUGAGCUGGAGCUACUGGCUACAUUGGUACAAUUUUUGGAACCUGGUUGACCUGAACCCGCUGCUCUGGAGUACCGACGAUGGGAGUCUGUGCUUCUCCCCCGGCCUGAGAUGUGGCAGGAGUAAGUGGGAUCGAUCCAGUCUGAGCUAAGAUGCUGAACAUGCUCAGAAAAUCGGCUAGAGUCUCCUAGAGGGCUAGUACAAAAAUAGGUACCUCAGGUGUCUGCCCUCCAGUUGGAGCUACUGGGGCCUUCUCUGUAGCAGCUCGUGCGGGUUCCCUGGCUGCACCACACGGACGUCCUUGGCCUCUACCCCGGCACCGGCCUCUCGCGGCUCUAGUAGGGGGUGCGGGUGCCUGGUCAUCAGAUCCGUUUGCACGUGUCCUCACUAUCUGUGAGAGAAUAGAAUACAAAAGUUUAGAAUUUUUGAAGUCAACAAUUUUCGAACGACAAAGAAUCAAAGUAGUGAAAUUUCCUAACAGUUUCAUAGCCUCCCGAAGAUAAGUACAGACGUUUCCGUACAAAUCCACGAGACUCUAAUAAACCGGCUAGUCACUCACGACACAUAUGAAUCUAGAGCUCUGAUACCAACUUGUCACGACCCAAUUUCCCCUCCGUAUGACGUCGUGACGGCAUCUAGUCUCUAUGACUAGGUAAGCCUAACAUUUGCGAAAUAAUGAAAAGAAAACAUGAAUUAACCAACUAACGGUUCAAAAUACACAGUAAUCCCAAAACCUGAAUAUCAUAAGUCACAAGCUACAGAAGGAAACUAGUAUCUCUAUACACCAGAGUCUAAUAACAGAAGUAAGGAAGGUAAAUGACAUAGGAGGAGUCGAGGGAGACUCCGAGGUCUGCGGACAUGGCAGAUAUAAGUUGAAAUCUCCGUACAGCAGCAAGAACUCUCAGCUAGUAGCGGGGCUGAUAAGAUAUACCUAGAUUUGCACACAAAAACAUGUGCAGAAGAGUAGCAUGAGUACACCACAAUCGGUACCCAGUAUGUGCCAAGCCUAUCCUCGGUAGAGUAGUGACGAGGUUAGGUCCGAGCCCUACUGGAAUAUGAUAAUAAAGCAAGGCAAAAUGGAAAUAUCGCAGUAAAUAAAGACUGAAAUUUAACAAGAAAGAAUUUAUAGAAGGUAACAGCUUAAUACACAGAAAUACAAUAGGGGAUCUCCUGAGAUACCGUCUCGUAGUCCCAAAUAUAAAUGUGUAGGGGGAUCUCCUAGAAUACCGUUCCGUAGUUCCAAAGUAAAUAUGCAAGAUAGGGAAAUCUCCCGGAAUACCGUUCCAUAGUCCCAAAGUAAAUAUGCAGUACAAGGGGAUCUCCCGGAAUACCGUUCUGUAGUCCCAAAGUAAAUAUGCAGCGCAAAUAAUAGAAAUACAAUUACAUCACGAAAUCUUAUGAUUUAGACUAAGUACCAGUCAAGGAAGAAGCAGAAAAUUCACUAAGCAUGCUGCACAGAGUUCACAUAAGCAGUUAAUACACGUAGAUAUGCUGUAUUAGACUAAACAGGAUAGCUAUACAUAUUGAAAUAACACAAUUAAGAAUGAAAAUGGAUUAAUACUUAUUAAAAUGGUAUAACUCAAAAUAAAAGAAGAACAUGUUGUUGCUUAGUAAGAAAAUCGGGUUUUUUCCACAACUAGCCUGUGUACGUACUCGUCACCUCACGUACACAACGCUCACAUAUCACAAUAGUUCCAAAUCUUAAGGGGAUUUACCCCACACAAAGUUAGGCAAGCCACUUACCUCGAACCAAGCUCAAUCAAUCGGUCACAAUGCCUUUCCCAUAAAUAUCCGGCUCCGAAUGGCCCAAAUCUAGCCAAAAGCAAUUACAUAUCAUAAAUACAACCAAAAUAGACUCAUCUAAUUAAUGAAAUCAAUACUUUAACAAAAGUUCCAAAAUUCGUCCUAAAAGGUCGACUCGGGCCCAUGUCUCGGAAUCAGAUAAAAGUCACAAAAUUCGAAAGCCCAUUCACUCACGAGUCUAACCAUAUCAAAUUUACUAAAAUCUGACACCAAAUGGUCCUUCAAAUUCACAAAUCAAACUUUCCAAAUCCCUAGCCUCAAAUUUCCAAAUUUCACCUUAAAUACGCACUAACUAGGUGGAAAAAUAAAUGGGGAAGCAAGAUUAUUGAUAAAAAAUAAGCACAAGGGACUUACCUCAAGAAAUGCCUCGAAAAUGCUCUAAACAAUUUCCCUAAACCGAGUUUGCAAAGUCAAAAAUGAUAAAAAUUACGAAGCCCUUCGGUUUUAAACACUGCCCAGGCAUUUCCGCACCUGCGGAGCCUGGGCUCGCCCCUGCGCGCCCGCUGGUGCGAAAAUGUGGGCGCGCCUACGAAAAUGACUAACCUUGGAUGCCUCCGCUUCUGCAACCACUGGUCCGCAUCUGCGCUAUCGCAGGUGCGGAGAAACCAUCGCACUUGUGACCUAUGCUGAUCUCCACCCCUUCUGCAUCUGCGCUCAACCUUCCGUGCAUGCGGCCUCGCACCUGCUGCUAAUAACCUCGCAGGUGCGACCACACCAGCAAAAGACCAAACUUUAGAAAUUUCUCAACUUCCAUUCCAAGUUCGUUAACCACCCGAAACUCACUCGAGACCCCCGGGACCUCAACCAAACAUACCAACCAAUCCUAAAAUACCAUACAAACUUAGUCGAGCCCUCAAAUCAUAUCAAACAACGCUAAAAUCGCAAAUCAUCCUCCGAUUCAAACUUAAAGAACUUGAAACUUCUAAAUUCGACAACUGAUGCCGAAACCAACCAAACCAUGUUCGAUUGACCCUAAAUUUUGCACACAAGUCAUAUUCAACAUUACGGACCUACUCCAACUUCCGAAAAUAAAAUCUGACCCCGAUAUCAAAAAGUCCACUACCGGUCAAAAUCUCCAAAAAUUUGACUUUCGCCAUUUCAAGCCUAAAUAAGUUACGAACCUCCAAAAUACACUCCGGACACGCCCCUAAGUCCAAAAUCACCUAACGGAGCUAACGAAAUUGACGGAAUUUCAUUUCGGAGUCAUCUUCACUAAUUCCGACUACGGUCCAAAUCCUAAGGCUUAAACCUCCAUUUAGGGACUAAGUGUCCCAAAACACUCCAAAAACCAAAACGAAACCUCCCGCCAAGUCACAAUAGCAUAAAUAGAUAUGGAAAAACUAGUAAAUAGGGGAUCGGGACUAUUACUCUCAAAACGACCGGCUGGGUCGUUACAUUUACUUUGAGUCUGAUCAACAACUUUUAUGUAUUUUAUGAGUUACAUGGUAUCAUUGCUAGGAGUUAGAGUUAGACUAAAAGAGUGUCUACUUCUUGUAAACACUCGUCGAAAUUUAACUUCUAUAUGUGAUGUAAUUUUUUUUAUGCAGGGAACAGGAAUUAGAGCUUCUGAGGAAAGAUAUUUGAGAAAAAAUUUUCCAAGAGAUUAAGAUGAUUUUAAAAAAUGAGUUUAAAAGAUCCCCCAAAUAGCAGUUCUGUUUGGAUAAAUAUACAUGACAUUCUGAUGUUAAGAAGGCAGACCCAAUACAGAUUACACCGAGUGCUCAUUCAAAAAUGUUGCAAGAAAUGAGUAUGAUUCUUUUUGGAAUUUUAGUUUAUCUGAUAAUGUAAUAUUGAAGUACCUAUACUUAUUUUUUAAUAAUAUAUAUUUUACUUAAUUGAUGGCUUGUAUUUGUGUCAGAACCAUUCUAUAGUAUUUGGCAUGUUUUGAUACAUUAGCAUGAAAAAGAGGAUUAAUUAUAAGAAGACAAAUAAGUAAAUAAGAUAAUGGAACACAAUUGUGGCAGUU
RNAcentral lists this long non-coding RNA (11458 nucleotides) under Nicotiana tabacum (common tobacco). RNAcentral describes it as "long non-coding RNA (NTAB_LNC003968)". The record is from RNAcentral. Lineage: Eukaryota; Viridiplantae; Streptophyta; Magnoliopsida; Solanales; Solanaceae.